GGUCAGCUGACACAUCCCGGCCAAUCAGCAGCAGACCCUCCCUCCCAGACCCUCCCACCUUCUGGACAGCAUCCAUGUUGAAGCUGCCUUCAACAUGGAUGCUGUCCAGGAGGUGGGAGGGUCUGGGAGGGAGGGUCUGAUGGAGAUUGGCCGGGAUGUGUUUAUAG
This 167-nucleotide microRNA precursor is filed under the name Pelobates cultripes (western spadefoot toad). Lineage: Eukaryota; Metazoa; Chordata; Amphibia; Anura; Pelobatidae. The record is from RNAcentral.